UCGGGUUGUAAAGCACUUUUGUCCGGAAAGAAAACUUCGUCCCUAAUAUGGAUGGAGGAUGACGGUACCGGAAGAAUAAGCACCGGCUAACUACGUGCCAGCAGCCGCGGUAAUACGUAGGGUGCGAGCGUUAAUCGGAAUUACUGGGCGUAAAGCGUGCGCAGGCGGGUUUGCUAAGACCGAUGUGAAAUCCCCGGGCUUAACCUGGGAACUGCAUUGGUGACUGGCAGGCUAGAGUAUGGCAGAGGGGGGGUAGAAUUUCCACGUGUAGCAGUGAAAUGCGUAGAGAUGUGGAGGAAUACCGAUGGCGAAGGCAGCCCCUGGGCCAAUACUGACGCUCAUGCACGAAAGCGUGGGGAGCAAACAGGAUUAGAUACCCUGGUAGUCCACGCCCUAAACGAUGUCAACUAGUUGUUGGGGAUUCAUUUCCUUAGUAACGUAGCUAACGCGUGAAGUUGACCGCCUGGGGAGUACGGUCGCAAGAUUAAAACUCAAAGGAAUUGACGGGGACCCGCACAAGCGGUGGAUGAUGUGGAUUAAUUCGAUGCAACGCGAAAAACCUUACCUACCCUUGACAUGGACGGAAGGCCGCUG
This 594-nucleotide ribosomal RNA is filed under the name uncultured Burkholderia sp. RNAcentral's name for it is "bacterial SSU rRNA". It matches the Rfam family "Bacterial small subunit ribosomal RNA", at positions 418 to 1003 of the family's 1533-position model. Lineage: Bacteria; Pseudomonadati; Pseudomonadota; Betaproteobacteria; Burkholderiales; Burkholderiaceae. The record is from RNAcentral.